UUAAAUUGAAGAGUUUGAUCAUGGCUCAGAUUGAACGCUGGCGGCAGGCCUAACACAUGCAAGUCGAACGGUAACAGGAAACAGCUUGCUGUUUCGCUGACGAGUGGCGGACGGGUGAGUAAUGUCUGGGAAACUGCCUGAUGGAGGGGGAUAACUACUGGAAACGGUAGCUAAUACCGCAUAAUGUCGCAAGACCAAAGAGGGGGACCUUCGGGCCUCUUGCCAUCGGAUGUGCCCAGAUGGGAUUAGCUUGUUGGUGGGGUAACGGCUCACCAAGGCGACGAUCCCUAGCUGGUCUGAGAGGAUGACCAGCCACACUGGAACUGAGACACGGUCCAGACUCCUACGGGAGGCAGCAGUGGGGAAUAUUGCACAAUGGGCGCAAGCCUGAUGCAGCCAUGCCGCGUGUAUGAAGAAGGCCUUCGGGUUGUAAAGUACUUUCAGCGGGGAGGAAGGGAGUAAAGUUAAUACCUUUGCUCAUUGACGUUAUCCGCAGAAGAAGCACCGGCUAACUCCGUGCCAGCAGCCGCGGUAAUACGGAGGGUGCAAGCGUUAAUCGGAAUUACUGGGCGUAAAGCGCACGCAGGCGGUUUGUUAAGUCAGAUGUGAAAUCCCCGGGCUCAACCUGGGAACUGCAUCUGAUACUGGCAAGCUUGAGUCUCGUAGAGGGGGGUAGAAUUCCAGGUGUAGCGGUGAAAUGCGUAGAGAUCUGGAGGAAUACCGGUGGCGAAGGCGGCCCCCUGGACGAAGACUGACGCUCAGGUGCGAAAGCGUGGGGAGCAAACAGGAUUAGAUACCCUGGUAGUCCACGCCGUAAACGAUGUCGACUUGGAGGUUGUGCCCUUGAGGCGUGGCUUCCGGAGCUAACGCGUUAAGUCGACCGCCUGGGGAGUACGGCCGCAAGGUUAAAACUCAAAUGAAUUGACGGGGGCCCGCACAAGCGGUGGAGCAUGUGGUUUAAUUCGAUGCAACGCGAAGAACCUUACCUGGUCUUGACAUCCACGGAAGUUUUCAGAGAUGAGAAUGUGCCUUCGGGAACCGUGAGACAGGUGCUGCAUGGCUGUCGUCAGCUCGUGUUGUGAAAUGUUGGGUUAAGUCCCGCAACGAGCGCAACCCUUAUCCUUUGUUGCCAGCGGUCCGGCCGGGAACUCAAAGGAGACUGCCAGUGAUAAACUGGAGGAAGGUGGGGAUGACGUCAAGUCAUCAUGGCCCUUACGACCAGGGCUACACACGUGCUACAAUGGCGCAUACAAAGAGAAGCGACCUCGCGAGAGCAAGCGGACCUCAUAAAGUGCGUCGUAGUCCGGAUUGGAGUCUGCAACUCGACUCCAUGAAGUCGGAAUCGCUAGUAAUCGUGGAUCAGAAUGCCACGGUGAAUACGUUCCCGGGCCUUGUACACACCGCCCGUCACACCAUGGGAGUGGGUUGCAAAAGAAGUAGGUAGCUUAACCUUCGGGAGGGCGCUUACCACUUUGUGAUUCAUGACUGGGGUGAAGUCGUAACAAGGUAACCGUAGGGGAACCUGCGGUUGGAUCACCUCCUUACCUUAAAGAAGC
Molecule: ribosomal RNA, 1556 nt
Filed under: Shigella sp. FC1708
Lineage: Bacteria; Pseudomonadati; Pseudomonadota; Gammaproteobacteria; Enterobacterales; Enterobacteriaceae
Also listed under: 4 other names
Description: bacterial SSU rRNA
Rfam family: Bacterial small subunit ribosomal RNA
Source: RNAcentral